AUUGAACGCUGGCGGCAUGCUUUACACAUGCAAGUCGAACGGUAACAGGUCUUCGGAUGCUGACGAGUGGCGAACGGGUGAGUAAUGCAUCGGAACGUGCCCAGUCGUGGGGGAUAACGCAGCGAAAGCUGUGCUAAUACCGCAUACGAUCUAUGGAUGAAAGCGGGGGAUCGCAAGACCUCGCGCGAUUGGAGCGGCCGAUGUCAGAUUAGCUAGUUGGUGGGGUAAAGGCCCACCAAGGCGACGAUCUGUAGCUGGUCUGAGAGGACGAUCAGCCACACUGGGACUGAGACACGGCCCAGACUCCUACGGGAGGCAGCAGUGGGGAAUUUUGGACAAUGGACGCAAGUCUGAUCCAGCAAUUCCGCGUGGGUGAAGAAGGUCUUCGGAUUGUAAAGCCCUUUCGUUGGGGACGAUGAUGACGGUACCCAAAGAAGAAGCCCCGGCUAACUUCGUG
This 457-nucleotide ribosomal RNA is filed under the name uncultured bacterium. Its description in RNAcentral is "bacterial SSU rRNA". It matches the Rfam family "Bacterial small subunit ribosomal RNA", at positions 30 to 507 of the family's 1533-position model. The record is from RNAcentral.